This 505-nucleotide ribosomal RNA is filed under the name Anaplectus sp. PDL-2005. Its description in RNAcentral is "SSU rRNA". It matches the Rfam family "Eukaryotic small subunit ribosomal RNA", at positions 88 to 590 of the family's 1831-position model. Lineage: Eukaryota; Metazoa; Nematoda; Chromadorea; Plectida; Plectidae. The record is from RNAcentral.
CGCGAAUGGCUCAUUACAACAGCCACUGUUUGCUUGAUCUUGAUUAUCCUACUUGGAUAACUGUGGUAAUCCUAGAGCUAAUACAUGCAACCAAGCUCCGACCGUAAGGGACGGGCGCAUUUAUUAGAACAAAACCAAUCGGGCUUCGGCCUGAGGUUUGGUGAAUCUGAAUAACUGAGCUGAUCGCAUGGUCUUUGUACCGGCGACGCAUCUUUCAAGUGUCUGCCUUAUCAACUUUCGAUGGUAGUUUAUGUGCCUACCAUGGUUGUAACGGGUAACGGAGAAUAAGGGUUCGACUCCGGAGAGGGAGCCUGAGAAACGGCUACCACAUCCAAGGAAGGCAGCAGGCGCGCAAAUUACCCACUCUCGGCACGAGGAGGUAGUGACGAAAAAUAACGAGGCGGUUCUCUAAGAGGCCCGCUAUCGGAAUGGGUACAAUUUAAGCCCUUUAACGAGGAUCAAUGAGAGGGCAAGUCUGGUGCCAGCAGCCGCGGUAAUUCCAGCU